This 522-nucleotide ribosomal RNA is filed under the name Arcanobacterium canis. RNAcentral's name for it is "bacterial LSU rRNA". It matches the Rfam family "Bacterial large subunit ribosomal RNA", at positions 2052 to 2574 of the family's 2925-position model. Lineage: Bacteria; Bacillati; Actinomycetota; Actinomycetes; Actinomycetales; Actinomycetaceae. The record is from RNAcentral.
AGUAAAGAUGCUCGUUACGCGCAGAAGGACGGAAAGACCCCGGGACCUUUACUAUAGCUUGGUAUUGGUGUUUGGUACGGCUUGUGUAGGAUAGGUGGGAGACUGUGAAGCAUGCACGCUAGUGUGUGUGGAGUCGUUGUUGAAAUACCACUCUGGUUGUGCUGGAUGUCUAACCUUGGACCAUGAUCUGGUUCAGGGACAGUGCCUGGUGGGUAGUUUAACUGGGGCGGUUGCCUCCUAAAAUGUAACGGAGGCGCUCAAAGGUUCCCUCAGCCUGGUUGGUAAUCAGGUGGCGAGUGUAAGUGUACAAGGGAGCUUGACUGUGAGACUGACAGGUCGAGCAGGUGCGAAAGCAGGAACUAGUGAUCCGGCGGUGGCUUGUGGAAGCGCCGUCGCUCAACGGAUAAAAGGUACCCCGGGGAUAACAGGCUGAUCCUGCCCAAGAGUUCAUAUCGACGGCAUGGUUUGGCACCUCGAUGUCGGCUCGUCGCAUCCUGGGGCUGGAGUAGGUCCCAAGGGUUG